UACGGAGGGUGCAAGCGUUAUCCGGAAUCACUGGGUUUAAAGGGUGCGUAGGCGGACUUUCAAGUCAGAGGUGAAAGCCUCCCGCUCAACGGGAGAAUUGCCUUUGAUACUGUUGGUCUUGAAUGUAGCUGAAGUGGGCGGAAUGAGUCGUGUAGCGGUGAAAUGCAUAGAUAUGACUCAGAACACCGAUUGCGAAGGCAGCUCACUAAACUACUAUUGACGCUGAGGAGCGAAAGCGUGGGGAGCAAACAGG
Molecule: unclassified non-coding RNA, 253 nt
Filed under: uncultured Chitinophagales bacterium
Lineage: Bacteria; Pseudomonadati; Bacteroidota; Chitinophagia; Chitinophagales
Description: contains 16S-23S intergenic spacer region
Rfam family: Bacterial small subunit ribosomal RNA
Source: RNAcentral